GAAGCUGACCAGACAGUCGCCGCUUCGUCGUCGUCCUUUCGGGGGGACGGGCGGAGGGGAGGAAAGUCCGGGCUCCAUAGGGCAGGGUGCCAGGUAACGCCUGGGGGGGGAAACCCACGACCAGUGCAACAGAGAGCAAACCGCCGAUGGCCCACGCAAGUGGGAUCAGGUAAGGGUGAAAGGGUGCGGUAAGAGCGCACCGCGCGGCUGGUAACAGUCCGUGGCACGGUAAACUCCACCCGGAGCAAGGCCAAAUAGGGGUUCAUAAGGUACGGCCCGUACUGAACCCGGGUAGGCUGCUUGAGCCAGUGAGCGAUUGCUGGCCUAGAUGAAUGACUGUCCACGACAGAACCCGGCUUAUCGGUCAGUUUCACUU
Molecule: RNase P RNA, 376 nt
Filed under: Salmonella enterica
Lineage: Bacteria; Pseudomonadati; Pseudomonadota; Gammaproteobacteria; Enterobacterales; Enterobacteriaceae
Description: RNase P RNA component class A
Rfam family: Bacterial RNase P class A
About the family: Ribonuclease P (RNase P) is a ubiquitous endoribonuclease, found in archaea, bacteria and eukarya as well as chloroplasts and mitochondria. Its best characterised activity is the generation of mature 5'-ends of tRNAs by cleaving the 5'-leader elements of precursor-tRNAs.
Source: RNAcentral